UACAGAGGUCCCGAGCGUUGUUCGGAUUUACUGGGCGUAAAGGGUGCGCAGGCGGUGGGGUAAGUUUGAGGUGAAAGCUCCGGGCUCAACCCGGAAACUGCCUUGAAAACUAUCCGGCUAGAGGGUUGGAGGGGAGACUGGAAUUCUCGGUGUAGCAGUGAAAUGCGUAGAUCUCGAGAGGAACACCAGUGGCGAAGGCGGGUCUCUGGGCAGUAACUGACGCUGAGGAGCGAAAGCGUGGGGGGCGAACAGG
Molecule: ribosomal RNA, 253 nt
Filed under: uncultured bacterium
Lineage: Bacteria
Description: partial 16S ribosomal RNA
Rfam family: Bacterial small subunit ribosomal RNA
Source: RNAcentral